RNAcentral lists this non-coding RNA (23 nucleotides) under Arabidopsis thaliana (thale cress). The record is from RNAcentral. Lineage: Eukaryota; Viridiplantae; Streptophyta; Magnoliopsida; Brassicales; Brassicaceae.
AGGGACCUUAAGAGAGACCACCA